GGGUGAGUAAUGUAUCGGAACGUACCUUUCAGUGGGGGAUAACGUAGCGAAAGUUACGCUAAUACCGCAUAUUCUGUGAGCAGGAAAGCAGGGGAUCGCAAGACCUUGCGCUGAUUGAGCGGCCGAUAUCAGAUUAGCUAGUUGGUGAGGUAAAGGCUCACCAAGGCGACGAUCUGUAGCGGGUCUGAGAGGAUGAUCCGCCACACUGGAACUGAGACACGGUCCAGACUCCUACGGGAGGCAGCAGUGGGGAAUUUUGGACAAUGGGCGCAGGCCUGAUCCAGCCAUGCCGCGUGAGUGAAGAAGGCCUUCGGGUUGUAAAGCUCUUUCAGCCGGGAAGAAAACGCAUGGGUUAAUACCCUGUGUGGAUGACGGUACCGGAAUAAGAAGCACCGGCUAACUACGUGCCAGCAGCCGCGGUAAUACGUAGGGUGCGAGCGUUAAUCGGAAUUACUGGGCGUAAAGCGUGCGCAGGCGGUUUGUUAAGAUAGGCGUGAAAUCCCCGGGCUCAACCUGGGAACUGCGUUUAUGACUGGCAAGCUAGAGUAUGGCAGAGGGGGGUGGAAUUCCACGUGUAGCAGUGAAAUGCGUAGAGAUGUGGAGGAACACCGAUGGCGAGGGCAGCCCCCUGGGCCAAUACUGACGCUCAUGCACGAAAGCGUGGGUAGCAAACAGGAUUAGAUACCCUGGUAGUCCACGCCCUAAACGAUGUCAACUAGGUGUUGGGAGGGUAAAACCUUUAGUACCGGAGCUAACGCGUGAAGUUGACCGCCUGGGGAGUACGGCCGCAAGGUUAAAACUCAAAGGAAUUGACGGGGACCCGCACAAGCGGUGGAUGAUGCGGAUUAAUUCGAUGCAACGCGAAAAACCUUACCUACCCUUGACAUGUCCGGAAGCCCUUAGAGAUUUGGGUGUGCUCGAAAGAGAGCCGGAACACAGGUGCUGCAUGGCUGUCGUCAGCUCGUGUCGUGAGAUGUUGGGUUAAGUCCCGCAACGAGCGCAACCCUUGUCGUUAAUUGCCAUCAUUUAGUUGGGCACUUUAACGAGACUGCCGGUGACAAACCGGAGGAAGGUGGGGAUGACGUCAAGUCCUCAUGGCCCUUAUGGGUAGGGCUUCACACGUCAUACAAUGGUCGGUACAAAGGGUCGCCAACCCGCGAGGGGGAGCCAAUCCCAGAAAGCCGAUCGUAGUCCGGAUCGUAGGCUGCAACUCGCCUGCGUGAAGUCGGAAUCGCUAGUAAUCGUGGAUCAGCAUGUCACGAUGAAUACGUUCCCGGGUCUUGUACACACCGCCCGUCACACCAUGGGAGCGGGUUCCGCCAGAAGUAGGUAGCCUAACCGCAAGGAGGGCGCUUACCACGGCGGGGUUCGUGACUGGGGUGAAGUCGAACAAGGUA
This 1397-nucleotide ribosomal RNA is filed under the name metagenome. Its description in RNAcentral is "bacterial SSU rRNA". It matches the Rfam family "Bacterial small subunit ribosomal RNA". The record is from RNAcentral.